RNAcentral lists this long non-coding RNA (1955 nucleotides) under Homo sapiens (human). Its description in RNAcentral is "HSALNT0117577". Lineage: Eukaryota; Metazoa; Chordata; Mammalia; Primates; Hominidae. The record is from RNAcentral.
CUGCAGGAUGCCCUGUCCUUGUGCCGGCCGGCCCACCGGGCCCCUCCUGCUGUCCAAGACGGUGGAGACAUGAAACGCCACAGGCAUCCCUGCCACCUGCCGCAGGUCCGCGUCUCCAUACAUGAUGCCCUGUCCUGGGGUGUGCGGCUGCCCCUGCAGAAGUCACACCCCGCGUGACCCGGCUUGUCCUUUCCCUGCUAGGCAGCCAAAGCUGUGUCGAAGGCCUGUGGCACAGCUCAGCACCCUCAGAUCCGGUGGCUCUGUGUCCUGCUGGCACCUGCUGUGGAGAGCAGGGUUUGCUGAGGGGGGAGGUGGCUGCCUACGUAAAGUGUCCAGCAUGAGCUUGGGAAUGUCCACCCGACUGUCCUCUUGGGGGCCAGAGGGUCCAGGCGUCCCAGGUCCCGGGAGCCGAGUGGGGCCAAGGUCCCCAGCUGUGCACGGAACACGAAUUUCUGUUGGCCUGAGGAGCUCCUGCAGGAAACCGUGGGACAAGCCUGGUUCAGCGUGAAUUCUGGGCCUCCUGCCAGCCCCCAGCCCUCCUGGGAUGCCACCUGCAGCCCUGCAGACAAGUGCCUUGAAAAUCCCAAACCAGAGGCAGCCAAGUGUGAAACCAGCCCCCGGAGAUGGAAAAGAGGACAGGCCCCGCUCCCGUUUUAUCCAAUGCCAAAGGGGAGAUCGCUUGACGUUUGAGGAAACAGCGUGUGCGACUUCCACGCCGCUCCUGGGAAGGCACUCACGCGUUCGUCCAUGACGAGGCUCUGUUAGGGAGGGGGAGGCUGGAGGGGCCCAGAGAACAGCAGGGUCCCCCAGCCAAGGUCCUGGCGGGGCUGAGUGGGGCCGGGGCGAGGUGGGCCGGGCGGGGAGCAGGCGGGCAGAGUGAGCCAGCUGGGCUGUGGUGCUAAUCCCAGAUAAUUACCCUUUGGACACUCGGAGCCAUCUCCCUUUUCUUUGCACUUAGCACGGUCUGAAUGACCCUGAGAGCACCUUGGUCUUCCGAGGUCCCGCACACAUCCGGGCCCUGGGAAAGCCGGGCCUCAGUGGUCGGUCAGGAAACCUGAUCAGGCCCUAAUCGUCUGGUGGGGAUUAGCCGGCCCGGCGGCCCCUUCUCCAGGUGAGGGCUCCCACAACCCUGCCAGGGCCACCCUUCUGGGGGCAGGGCUGCCUUUGAGCCCGGAUUAGUUGAGGUAAAGGGAUUCAUCUUGGGGCCUUCAAAGCCUUCAGGUCUCCCCGUGCCUCCUCCAGCACAGAGCGAAGGCCCUGGAUACCCCCCAUGUCUCAUGUCUGGGUGGACAGACCCUGGAAGGGGUGUGGGAGGAGUCAGUACGAUGGAGGAUACAAAGUCUGGCCUGAGCUGCUGCCACUGAACCCGGGAUCACGUUGUUCAUCGAACCCUAGAUAAGGGGCGGCUCCCCUCCCUCGCCCCACGCGUGGUGCAGAGCAGGGCCUGGCGGUGUCUCCUUCUGACUCUCCAGGGGCUUCCACAGCCCUUCUUCCCACCUAGCGCCUCCCUCGCCCUUCCUGUUCCAGCCACAGGUGCUGUCCUCUGCCUGCCUCCCUGGCCGAAGCCUUUUCCCCAGGUGGGAGCUUCCUCCCUCCAUCCCCACAGCUGCCGGUGCUGCAGGUAGCAGCUCCAGGGUCCCCUCCCAACAGGGGACUCCCCCACCCCCACUGCUGUCCCCACCACUCACCACUCCUGUAUCCUAUUUUACUUUUGUAAAAUGACUGCUGCCUUCUCCUGAGAUCCUAGUAACCUGGUUGGUAUUGUUUUUGUCACUUGCCUAUCUACCUACCAUGUAUUCAUCUUCCCCACCUAGGCUGUGAGUGCCAGAAGGGCAGGGGCAUUUCUGGUCUCAUCCUCUCUAUGCUUCCAGCACAGAAGCAUAUGAUGAAUAUUUGUUUCAUGAAUGGGUGGGUGGAUGGAUGGGUGAAUGGAUAGAUGGAUGGGUGGAUAGGUG